GCUUCGCAGUAAACUGACUGAGUUAAACAUGUUCUUGGGUGUUUGCAAAUUUCUAUUAAAUUGAUUGAGCGUAUGUUUUUGCUGCAGUUGAUUUGAAGCAUAAAAAAUCCGGUCAGGGAGGGACUCGAACCCUCGACCUCACGAUUAACAGUCGUGCGCAAUAACCAACUAUGCUACCCGACCUUAGUUACUCACGAGCAAAAUUAGUACUAUUUAAUGGUAUUAAAAAGGAUUUAAUGACUUUAAAAUUGUUUUUUUUUUAACCCCAUUCUUGCUUGAUAUAUUUCCCAUCUUAAAGGGUUACAUACUCUUAUUCUUUUAUCUUUCAUUCGAUUGUGAUUGAUUUACCAUAUCAAUAAUCAUCUUACAAGACCGGAAACUAUCAACUAUCUGGACGUAAAGUGAAGCAUAAAGAAGAUGGCAUAGAGGACGGAAGGGAAUUUUUAUUAUUAUUCCAAGAAACCAUGCUAAAAUCACGUUUAAACCCUACUCCCUACUAACUCAGUAUCUACUGAGU
Schizosaccharomyces pombe (fission yeast) is the source of this 517-nucleotide non-coding RNA. Lineage: Eukaryota; Fungi; Ascomycota; Schizosaccharomycetes; Schizosaccharomycetales; Schizosaccharomycetaceae. The record is from the annotation of a GenBank genome assembly.